UAACGUCAGAAUAUAAUACGGUCUCAUAGUAACUGUAACGUAGCUCCAAAUGUAGAAGCGAGUUUUAACUUAAUAGUGUUUUUCGUUCCUGGUCUAGACGCUUUCUCGUUGUUUUGCAAGUUGUGAUAUUUGUAUAAUAGGUCAUAUUAGGAAAGGUUUACCCAAGCCUACUUAGUUUGACUUCUCGCUAUCCAUAAUCGAUAAAGCUUCCCACGCAAUAGUUCGAUAAGGGGGACUGCAAUGCUAUGGUUCUAUUUUGUCUAAACUGACUUUUGUAUGUUUGUCGUUGUGAUUUUGCAAAACUCAUUGGAAUUGAGUGCGAACCAAUUGUCUGGAGUAUUUCCAUGACCAGCUCACGAACUUUACCAACACCGCAACUUGCCAUUUAAUUCAACUACAACAGUUACUAUUUUAAUCAUAUUUUAUCUGGAACUUCCCGAUGGUUUAAAGAAGUAAAAUAUUUUGGUAGUUUCUCCUAAAA
Molecule: long non-coding RNA, 481 nt
Organism: Hermetia illucens (black soldier fly)
Lineage: Eukaryota; Metazoa; Arthropoda; Insecta; Diptera; Stratiomyidae
Exons: 2
Source: RefSeq, a predicted model, not a curated record